AGAGUUUGAUCAUGGCUCAGGAUUAACGCUGGCGGCGUGCCUAACACAUGCAAGUCGAACGGACCUUUAUUUUUGAGAGCUUCUUUAUAGGAUUUCUCAUAAAUACUGGUUAGUGGCGAACGGGUGAGUAACACGUUGGUACCUGCCCUCUAGUGGGGGAUAACUGGCCGAAAGGUCAAAUACCGCAUGUGAUCUACGGAUCAAAGCAGCAAUGCGCUAGAGGAGGGGCCUGCGGCUGAUUAGCUUGUUGGUAGGGUAAUGGCCUACCAAGGCGACGAUCAGUAGCUGGAUCGAGAGGUUGACCAGCCACACUGGGACUGAGAUACGGCCCAGACUCCUACGGGAGGCAGCAGUGAGGAAUUUUCCACAAUGGACGAAAGUCUGAUGGAGCAACGCCGCGUGCAGGAUGACGGCCUUAGGGUUGUAAACUGCUUUUAUUUGGGAAGAUUAUGACGGUACCAAAUGAAUAAGGAUCGGCUAACUACGUGCCAGCAGCCGCGGUAAUACGUAGGAUCCAAGCGUUAUCCGGAAUUACUGGGCGUAAAGCGUACGUAGGUGGAAAUUUAAGUGAGAUGCGAAAUCUGGCGGCUCAACCGUCUAGACUGUGUCUCAUACUGGGUUUCUUGAGGUUGGCAGAGGCAAGUGGAAUUUCCGGUGUAGCAGUGAAAUGCGUAGAGAUCGGAAGGAACACCAAUGGCGAAGGCAGCUUGCUGGGCCACACCUGACACUGAGGUACGAAAGCGUGGGGAGCGAACAGGAUUAGAUACCCUAGUAGUCC
This 778-nucleotide ribosomal RNA is filed under the name uncultured bacterium. RNAcentral's name for it is "bacterial SSU rRNA". It matches the Rfam family "Bacterial small subunit ribosomal RNA", at positions 8 to 796 of the family's 1533-position model. The record is from RNAcentral.